AACUGGGUAACCUGCCCAUCAGAGGGGGAUAACAUUCGGAAACGGAUGCUAAAACCGCAUAGGUCUUCGAACCGCAUGGUUUGAAGAGGAAAGAGGCGCAAGCUUCUGCUGAUGGAUGGACCCGCGGUGCAUUAGCUAGUUGGUGAGGUAACGGCUCACCAAGGCCGUGAUGCAUAGCCGACCUGAGAGGGUGAUCGGCCACAUUGGGACUGAGACACGGCCCAA
This 225-nucleotide ribosomal RNA is filed under the name uncultured bacterium. RNAcentral's name for it is "partial 16S ribosomal RNA". It matches the Rfam family "Bacterial small subunit ribosomal RNA", at positions 112 to 334 of the family's 1533-position model. The record is from RNAcentral.